RNAcentral lists this ribosomal RNA (497 nucleotides) under uncultured bacterium. Its description in RNAcentral is "partial 16S ribosomal RNA". It matches the Rfam family "Bacterial small subunit ribosomal RNA", at positions 28 to 507 of the family's 1533-position model. The record is from RNAcentral.
GAUGAACGCUGGCGGCGUGCCUAAUACAUGCAAGUCGAGCGAACAGACGAGGAGCUUGCUCCUCUGACGUUAGCGGCGGACGGGUGAGUAACACGUGGAUAACCUACCUAUAAGACUGGGAUAACUUCGGGAAACCGGAGCUAAUACCGGAUAAUAUAUUGAACCGCAUGGUUCAAUAGUGAAAGACGGUUUUGCUGUCACUUAUAGAUGGAUCCGCGCCGCAUUAGCUAGUUGGUAAGGUAACGGCUUACCAAGGCAACGAUGCGUAGCCGACCUGAGAGGGUGAUCGGCCACACUGGAACUGAGACACGGUCCAGACUCCUACGGGAGGCAGCAGUAGGGAAUCUUCCGCAAUGGGCGAAAGCUUGACGGAGCAACGCCGCGUGAGUGAUGAAGGUCUUCGGAUCGUAAAACUCUGUUAUUAGGGACGAACAAAUGUGUAAGAAACUAUGCACGUCUUGACGGUACCUAAUCAGAAAGCCCCGGCUAACUACGUG